Molecule: small nucleolar RNA, 107 nt
Filed under: Gossypium arboreum
Lineage: Eukaryota; Viridiplantae; Streptophyta; Magnoliopsida; Malvales; Malvaceae
Description: Plant small nucleolar RNA R71
Rfam family: Plant small nucleolar RNA R71
About the family: R71 is a member of the C/D box family of snoRNAs containing the C (UGAUGA) and D (CUGA) box motifs. Multiple nearly identical copies of this snoRNA have been identified in Arabidopsis, and it is thought to function as a 2'-O-ribose methylation guide for 18S ribosomal RNA.
Source: Rfam by way of RNAcentral
AACCCAUGGUGAGGGCACUUUAUCAGUAAGUCUUUGUAUCUCUCCCAUGCAUCGUAAAGUGUUUCUAAAUCCAUCUACACAAAAGAAGAGAUAUCAUUACGUAAUUU